RNAcentral lists this ribosomal RNA (469 nucleotides) under Costifrons sp. 1 BFS-2018. Its description in RNAcentral is "partial 16S large subunit ribosomal RNA". The record is from RNAcentral. Lineage: Eukaryota; Metazoa; Arthropoda; Insecta; Hymenoptera; Ichneumonidae.
UCUUUUUGAGUAUAAUUUAAAGUCUGAUCYSCYCCMYGAUUAUUAAUAAUUAAAUAGCUGCMGAAUUUUAACUGUACAAAGGUAGCAUAAUCAAUAGUUUUUUAAUUAAAAGCUGGUAUGAAUGAUUUAAUAAGGUAAAUUUUGUCUCAAAUUUAAUGGUAAUAGAAUUUUUUUUUUAGUAAAAAUACUAAAUUGUUUUUAAAAGACGAGAAGACCCUAUAGAUUUUUAUAUUUUUGUAUAAAAUAUAUUUAAAGUAAAAAAAUAAAAUUUUAUGUAAAAAUAUUUGGUUGGGGCAAUUGUUAAAUUUAAUAAAUUUUAAUAGUUUUAAACAAUGAUUAUUGGAAUUUUGAUCUUMUUAUAUAAAUUAUAAAAAUAAAAWMCCUUAGGGAUAACAGCGUAAUUUUUUUGGAGAGAUCAUAUUGAUAAAAAAGUUUGCGACCUCGAUGUUGAAUUAAAAUAAAAUUUUAA